RNAcentral lists this ribosomal RNA (1080 nucleotides) under Triticum aestivum (bread wheat). RNAcentral's name for it is "partial small subunit ribosomal RNA". Lineage: Eukaryota; Viridiplantae; Streptophyta; Magnoliopsida; Poales; Poaceae. The record is from RNAcentral.
AUGAAGGCAUGGCAGAAUGCAUGGAUGACAUAUCACUUUAAUGUCUCCAAUGGCCUAGAAAGGAUAGCAAGGGAUCUAAAGAACUGGGAGAUAAACACACUGGGUAAUCUGAAUCAGAGGAUAAAAUGUUUAAAGACUGAACUUGAAGAGGUGAGAAGGAAAGAUAUAUCACAGGAACAAGUAUCACACGAGCUAUUUUUGAGAGAAAAACUAAAUAGAUUACAGCAGCAACAAGAUACAUACUGGAGACAAAGGGCGCAUGCCAACUGGUUAAAGUCUGGUGACAGGAACACAAAGUACUUCCAUGCCUUUGCUUCUGAAAGAACGAAAAAGAACACAACAUCCAAGUUGAAAAGGGAUGAUGGUGGUUGGGUGGAAGGCCAAGCAAAUUUGAAGGAACUCAUAUAUGAUUACUUCUCAGCCUUGUUUACAUCCACGGCCGUAGUAGAUAAUGAAGAAGUUACAAGACAUGUACAUAGAAAGGUGGACCGACAAAUGAAUGAAAUUUUGUGUGCUGAAUAUUCAAGGCAAGAGGUCAAAUCUGCAAUUGAAAACAUUGGAGAUCUAAAGGCCCCAGGCCCUGAUGGAAUGCCGGCUAUUUUCUAUAAAAAAUUCUGGCAUCUUGUGGGGGAAAAAGUGAUAGAUGAGGUGCUGACUUUUCUAAGAGGAGGAGACAUGCCACAGGGAUGGAAUGACACUUUGGUGGUUCUCAUCCCAAAGGUAAACAAUCCGGAAAAACUAAAAGACUUGAGGCCUAUUAGUUUAUGCAAUGUCAUAUACAAGAUAGUGUCCAAGGUUAUCACUAAUAGGCUAAAGGUAAUCCUCCCGGAUAUUAUCUCCCAUAAUCAAAGUGCAUUUAUUCCGGGAAGAAUGAUUUCAGAUAAUAUUCUUUUGGCAUAUGAGCUAACCCAUUUCUUGCAGAAUAAGAGAAGUGGAAAGAAUGGGUAUGCAGCCUUGAAGCUUGACAUGAGCAAGGCUUAUGAUCGAGUAGAAUGGUGCUUUCUCCAGGAUAUGAUGAGGAAAAUGGGCUUUGAAAGGAGAUGGAUUCAUCUGAUCAUGAAGUGCGUAAUGACAGUAUGA